This 480-nucleotide ribosomal RNA is filed under the name Fusarium oxysporum f. sp. lycopersici. RNAcentral's name for it is "eukaryotic LSU rRNA". The stretch from base 125 to 278 matches the Rfam family "5.8S ribosomal RNA". Lineage: Eukaryota; Fungi; Ascomycota; Sordariomycetes; Hypocreales; Nectriaceae. The record is from RNAcentral.
CUGUGACAUACCAAUUGUUGCCUCGGCGGAUCAGCCCGCUCCCGGUAAAACGGGACGGCCCGCCAGAGGACCCCUAAACUCUGUUUCUAUAUGUAACUUCUGAGUAAAACCAUAAAUAAAUCAAAACUUUCAACAACGGAUCUCUUGGUUCUGGCAUCGAUGAAGAACGCAGCAAAAUGCGAUAAGUAAUGUGAAUUGCAGAAUUCAGUGAAUCAUCGAAUCUUUGAACGCACAUUGCGCCCGCCAGUAUUCUGGCGGGCAUGCCUGUUCGAGCGUCAUUUCAACCCUCAAGCCCCCGGGUUUGGUGUUGGGGAUCGGCGAGCCCUUGCGGCAAGCCGGCCCCGAAAUCUAGUGGCGGUCUCGCUGCAGCUUCCAUUGCGUAGUAGUAAAACCCUCGCAACUGGUACGCGGCGCGGCCAAGCCGUUAAACCCCCAACUUCUGAAUGUUGACCUCGGAUCAGGUAGGAAUACCCGCUGAAC